Molecule: ribosomal RNA, 497 nt
Filed under: uncultured bacterium
Lineage: Bacteria
Description: partial 16S ribosomal RNA
Rfam family: Bacterial small subunit ribosomal RNA
Source: RNAcentral
GACGAACGCUGGCGGCGUGCCUAAUACAUGCAAGUAGAACGCUGAAGAGAGGAGCUUACUCUUCUUGGAUGAGUUGCGAACGGGUGAGUAACGCGUAGGUAACCUGCCUUGUAGCGGGGGAUAACUAUUGGAAACGAUAGCUAAUACCGCAUAACAAUGGAUGACACAUGUCAUUUAUUUGAAAGGGGCAAUUGCUCCACUACAAGAUGGACCUGCGUUGUAUUAGCUAGUAGGUGAGGUAAUGGCUCACCUAGGCGACGAUACAUAGCCGACCUGAGAGGGUGAUCGGCCACACUGGGACUGAGACACGGCCCAGACUCCUACGGGAGGCAGCAGUAGGGAAUCUUCGGCAAUGGGGGCAACCCUGACCGAGCAACGCCGCGUGAGUGAAGAAGGUUUUCGGAUCGUAAAGCUCUGUUGUAAGUCAAGAACGGGUGUGAGAGUGGAAAGUUCACACUGUGGCGGUAGCUUACCAGAAAGGGACGGCUAACUACGUG